Molecule: ribosomal RNA, 497 nt
Filed under: uncultured bacterium
Lineage: Bacteria
Description: partial 16S ribosomal RNA
Rfam family: Bacterial small subunit ribosomal RNA
Source: RNAcentral
GAUGAACGCUGGCGGCGUGCCUAAUACAUGCAAGUCGAGCGAACGGACGAGAAGCUUGCUUCUCUGAUGUUAGCGGCGGACGGGUGAGUAACACGUGGAUAACCUACCUAUAAGACUGGGAUAACUUCGGGAAACCGUAGCUAAUACCGGAUAAUAUUUUGAACCGCAUGGUUCAAAAGUGAAAGACGGUCUUGCUGUCACUUAUAGAUGGAUCCGCGCUGCAUUAGCUAGUUGGUAAGGUAACGGCUUACCAAGGCAACGAUGCAUAGCCGACCUGAGAGGGUGAUCGGCCACCCUGGAACUGAGACACGGUCCAGACUCCUACGGGAGGCAGCAGUAGGGAAUCGUCCGCAAUGGGCGAAAGCCUGACGGAGCAACGCCGCGUGAGUGAUGAAGGUCUUCGGAUCGUAAAACUCUGUUAUUAGGGAAGAACAUAUGUGUAAGUAACUGUGCACAUCUUGACGGUACCUAAUCAGAAAGCCACGGCUAACUACGUG